GUGAGACAGUUCGGUCCCUAUCUGCCGUGGGCGCUGGAGAACUGAGGGGGGCUGCUCCUAGUACGAGAGGACCGGAGUGGACGCAUCACUGGUGUUCGGGUUGUCAUGCCAAUGGCACUGCCCGGUAGCUAAAUGCGGAAGAGAUAAGUGCUGAAAGCAUCUAAGCACGAAACUUGCCCCGAGAUGAGUUCUCCCUGAGACUUAAAGUCUCCUGAAGGAACGUUGAAGACGACGACGUUGAUAGGCCGGGUGUGUAAGCGCAGCGAUGCGUUGAGCUAACCGGUACUAAUGAACCGUGAGGCUUAACCUUACAACGCCGAAG
RNAcentral lists this ribosomal RNA (322 nucleotides) under Salmonella enterica subsp. enterica serovar Infantis. RNAcentral's name for it is "partial 23S ribosomal RNA". It matches the Rfam family "Bacterial large subunit ribosomal RNA", at positions 2621 to 2925 of the family's 2925-position model. Lineage: Bacteria; Pseudomonadati; Pseudomonadota; Gammaproteobacteria; Enterobacterales; Enterobacteriaceae. The record is from RNAcentral.